GGAAUAUUGGACAAUGGGCGAAAGCCUGAUCCAGCCAUGCCGCGUGUGUGAAGAAGGCCUUAGGGUUGUAAAGCACUUUCGUCUGUGAAGAUAAUGACAGUAGCAGAAGAAGAAGCUCCGGCUAAAUUCGUGCCAGCAGCCGCGGUAAUACGAAUGGAGCGAGCGUUGUUCGGAAUCACUGGGCGUAAAGCGUGCGCAGGCGGUUGUGAAAGUUAGAAGUGAAAUCCCAGAGCUCAACUUUGGAAUUGCUUUUAAAACUCCACAACUAGAGUACUGGAGAGGUUAGCGGAGUUCCGAGUGUAGAGGUGAAAUUCGCAGAUAUUCGGAGGAACACCAAUGGCGUAGGCAGCUAACUGGACAGUAACUGACGCUCAGGCACGAAAGCGUGGGGAUCAAA
Molecule: ribosomal RNA, 397 nt
Filed under: uncultured bacterium
Lineage: Bacteria
Description: bacterial SSU rRNA
Rfam family: Bacterial small subunit ribosomal RNA
Source: RNAcentral